Molecule: long non-coding RNA, 269 nt
Organism: Dendronephthya gigantea
Lineage: Eukaryota; Metazoa; Cnidaria; Anthozoa; Malacalcyonacea; Nephtheidae
Exons: 3
Source: RefSeq, a predicted model, not a curated record
UCACGUCCUCAUGCUAAAUCGCUCCAAUUGCCGACUUGAGGCCGUGAAAUUUGAGAAACAGGCUUAUGUAGUUAUGAAACCUGAUACGUCUCGAUUCCCGUGUCAAGCAUAAACUGUUAUUUCAAGCAAGAAGCGUUUCCAUCCAGAAAUUUUCUUUCCCAGGAAAAUUCAAUUGUCCCUUACGUAUCUCACCAGCAAUGACUAACCAGACAAACUUAUCAUCCAACGAAUCUCCCACUGCUGCUGCAUGUGAUGUUGAUACAAGAUAU